Molecule: ribosomal RNA, 301 nt
Filed under: uncultured bacterium
Lineage: Bacteria
Description: partial 16S ribosomal RNA
Rfam family: Bacterial small subunit ribosomal RNA
Source: RNAcentral
CAGCAGCCGCGGUAAUACGUAGGUGGCGAGCGUUGUCCGGAAUUAUUGGGCGUAAAGGGCUCGCAGGCGGUUUCUUAAGUCUGAUGUGAAAGCCCCCGGCUCAACCGGGGAGGGUCAUUGGAAACUGGGAAACUUGAGUGCAGAAGAGGAGAGUGGAAUUCCACGUGUAGCGGUGAAAUGCGUAGAGAUGUGGAGGAACACCAGUGGCGAAGGCGACUCUCUGGUCUGUAACUGGCGCUGAGGAGCGAAAGCGUGGGGAGCGAACAGGAUUAGAUACCCGAGUAGUCCCUGUCUCUUAUAC